RNAcentral lists this transfer RNA (65 nucleotides) under Craugastor augusti (barking frog). RNAcentral describes it as "tRNA-Trp". The record is from RNAcentral. Lineage: Eukaryota; Metazoa; Chordata; Amphibia; Anura; Craugastoridae.
GGUAGGGAGAGGACUUGAACCUCUGUGUUCGGGGCUACAAACCGCCGCCUCUCUCUCGGCCACCC